This 611-nucleotide long non-coding RNA is filed under the name Olea europaea subsp. europaea. Lineage: Eukaryota; Viridiplantae; Streptophyta; Magnoliopsida; Lamiales; Oleaceae. The record is from RNAcentral.
GUCAAGAAUGAGUAUGAUUAAUCAAAUUAGCCAACUGUAGGUUUGUUAUUGUUGAAUUUAUUUUCCAGUGCACUGGCCACCUGCUUGCUACCAGACUAGUGACAACACUUACGAGGAGAAAAACAUCAGUGUUGCCUUCCAAGUUAAUCAACAACACUCUCAAUAUCAUAACAGUAUACCCAUAAAAACCUCCUUAAUGCAAAAAUUGGAUAACUUGUAAUGAAACUCAACCAGAAGCAUAAUAAAUUCAUGCAAGCUCAAAUUAAACCCAGUGACCAUUUUGGAAUUAACCACAAAAAUCCUAUUUCCCAUCACCACAACCAACGAACUAAACAAGACAAUAAUUUCUUAUUGUAAUAUUUUUGAACAAAAAAACAAGUUAACAAAAGAACACAUAUACGGGGGAUUCAGAAAUUUAGCUUAAUUAUAAAAUCAAAUUUGGUCGAGUUUUGUAGAAAAAAAUCUGAUAGACUGACCUACUCUUCGAGUUCCAUCUCUUAAAACUCGAACUUAGGUAUUUGGAUUUUUGGGGGUGGUCGAACUGCAAGAGAAUGGAGACGGCAACCGAGUCGAUUGAUUUCGCAAGCGUGAAGACUCCCUAAUUUAUGAGA